RNAcentral lists this ribosomal RNA (447 nucleotides) under uncultured bacterium. RNAcentral describes it as "partial 16S ribosomal RNA". It matches the Rfam family "Bacterial small subunit ribosomal RNA", at positions 29 to 523 of the family's 1533-position model. The record is from RNAcentral.
AACGAACGCUGGCGGCAGGCUUAACACGUGCAAGUCGAACGCCCCGCAAGGGGAGUGGCAGACGGGUGAGUAACGCGUGGGAAUCUACCCAUCCCUACGGAACAACUCCGGGAAACUGGAGCUAAUACCGUAUACGCCCUACGGGGGAAAGAUUUAUCGGGGAUGGAUGAGCCCGCGUUGGAUUAGCUAGUUGGUGGGGUAAAGGCCUACCAAGGCGACGAUCCAUAGCUGGUCUGAGAGGAUGAUCAGCCACAUUGGGACUGAGACACGGCCCAAACUCCUACGGGAGGCAGCAGUGGGGAAUAUUGGACAAUGGGCGCAAGCCUGAUCCAGCCAUGCCGCGUGAGUGAUGAAGGUCUUAGGAUUGUAAAGCUCUUUCACCGAUGAAGAUAGUGACGGUAGUCGGAGAAGAAGCCCCGGCUAACUUCGUGUCAGCCGCCGCGGUAA